AACGAACGCUGGCGGCAGGCCUAACACAUGCAAGUCGAGCGCGCCCUUCGGGGUUAGCGGCGGACGGGUGAGUAACGCGUGGGAACGUGCCCUUCUCUGCGGAAUAGCCUCGGGAAACUGAGCGUAAUACCGCAUACGCCCUUUGGGGGAAAGAUUUAUCGGGGCAGGAUCGGCCCGCGUUGGAUUAGGUAGUUGGUGGGGUAAUGGCCCGCCAAGCCGACGAUGCAUAGCUGGUUGGAGAGGAUGAUCAGCCACACUGGGACUGAGACACGGCCCAGACUCCUACGGGAGGCAGCAGUGGGGAAUCUUAGACAAUGGGGGCAACCCUGAUCUAGCCAUGCCGCGUGAGUGAUGAAGGCCUUAGGGUUGUAAAGCUCUUUCAGCUGGGAAGAUAAUGACGGUACCAGCAGAAGAAGCCCCGGCUAACUCCGUG
RNAcentral lists this ribosomal RNA (433 nucleotides) under uncultured bacterium. RNAcentral's name for it is "partial 16S ribosomal RNA". It matches the Rfam family "Bacterial small subunit ribosomal RNA", at positions 29 to 507 of the family's 1533-position model. The record is from RNAcentral.